This 1147-nucleotide ribosomal RNA is filed under the name Staphylococcus pasteuri. RNAcentral describes it as "bacterial SSU rRNA". It matches the Rfam family "Bacterial small subunit ribosomal RNA", at positions 37 to 1170 of the family's 1533-position model. The record is from RNAcentral. Lineage: Bacteria; Bacillati; Bacillota; Bacilli; Caryophanales; Staphylococcaceae.
UUGCAGCGCUAUACAUGCAGUCGAGCGAACAGAUAAGGAGCUUGCUCCUUUGACGUUAGCGGCGGACGGGUGAGUAACACGUGGAUAACCUACCUAUAAGACUGGGAUAACUUCGGGAAACCGGAGCUAAUACCGGAUAACAUAUUGAACCGCAUGGUUCAAUAGUGAAAGGCGGCUUUGCUGUCACUUAUAGAUGGAUCCGCGCCGUAUUAGCUAGUUGGUAAGGUAACGGCUUACCAAGGCAACGAUACGUAGCCGACCUGAGAGGGUGAUCGGCCACACUGGAACUGAGACACGGUCCAGACUCCUACGGGAGGCAGCAGUAGGGAAUCUUCCGCAAUGGGCGAAAGCCUGACGGAGCAACGCCGCGUGAGUGAUGAAGGUCUUCGGAUCGUAAAACUCUGUUAUCAGGGAAGAACAAAUGUGUAAGUAACUGUGCACAUCUUGACGGUACCUGAUCAGAAAGCCACGGCUAACUACGUGCCAGCAGCCGCGGUAAUACGUAGGUGGCAAGCGUUAUCCGGAAUUAUUGGGCGUAAAGCGCGCGUAGGCGGUUUUUUAAGUCUGAUGUGAAAGCCCACGGCUCAACCGUGGAGGGUCAUUGGAAACUGGAAAACUUGAGUGCAGAAGAGGAAAGUGGAAUUCCAUGUGUAGCGGUGAAAUGCGCAGAGAUAUGGAGGAACACCAGUGGCGAAGGCGACUUUCUGGUCUGUAACUGACGCUGAUGUGCGAAAGCGUGGGGAUCAAACAGGAUUAGAUACCCUGGUAGUCCACGCCGUAAACGAUGAGUGCUAAGUGUUAGGGGGUUUCCGCCCCUUAGUGCUGCAGCUAACGCAUUAAGCACUCCGCCUGGGGAGUACGACCGCAAGGUUGAAACUCAAAGGAAUUGACGGGGACCCGCACAAGCGGUGGAGCAUGUGGUUUAAUUCGAAGCAACGCGAAGAACCUUACCAAAUCUUGACAUCCUUUGACCGCUCUAGAGAUAGAGUCUUCCCCUUCGGGGGACAAAGUGACAGGUGGUGCAUGGUUGUCGUCAGCUCCGGUCGUGAGAUGUUGGGUUAAGUCCCGCAACGAGCGCCAUCCCUUAAGCUUAGUUGCCAUCAUUAAGUUGGGCCCUCUAAAUUGACUGCCGGUGACAACCGGAGGA